Molecule: non-coding RNA, 28 nt
Filed under: Bombyx mori (domestic silkworm)
Lineage: Eukaryota; Metazoa; Arthropoda; Insecta; Lepidoptera; Bombycidae
Source: RNAcentral
UAAAACGAAUGAAAAAACGAGUCUGUGU